This 465-nucleotide ribosomal RNA is filed under the name Vreelandella stevensii. RNAcentral describes it as "partial 16S ribosomal RNA". It matches the Rfam family "Bacterial small subunit ribosomal RNA", at positions 339 to 795 of the family's 1533-position model. Lineage: Bacteria; Pseudomonadati; Pseudomonadota; Gammaproteobacteria; Oceanospirillales; Halomonadaceae. The record is from RNAcentral.
CUACGGGUGGGCAGCAGUGGGGAAUAUUGGACAAUGGGCGAAAGCCUGAUCCAGCCAUGCCGCGUGUGUGAAGAAGGCCUUCGGGUUGUAAAGCACUUUCAGUGGGGAAGAAAGCCUUGGGGCUAAUACCCUCGAGGAAGGACAUCACCCACAGAAGAAGCACCGGCUAACUCCGUGCCAGCAGCCGCGGUAAUACGGAGGGUGCGAGCGUUAAUCGGAAUUACUGGGCGUAAAGCGCGCGUAGGCGGUCUGAUAAGCCGGUUGUGAAAGCCCCGGGCUCAACCUGGGAACGGCAUCCGGAACUGUCAGGCUAGAGUGCAGGAGAGGAAGGUAGAAUUCCCGGUGUAGCGGUGAAAUGCGUAGAGAUCGGGAGGAAUACCAGUGGCGAAGGCGGCCUUCUGGACUGACACUGACGCUGAGGUGCGAAAGCGUGGGUAGCAAACAGGAUUAGAUACCCCGGUAGUC